CGAACCCGGGUCUUCGGCGUGACGAGCCAACGCUUUAACCAUUAGGCAACCCCACCGCCCCGUGGAAACUUGGAGUAACCUGAAGCAUAAGCAGCAAAAUUAUGUCUGUACAACUCCCAUCUUCACUUGUGUCAGGAGUUCCAAUGUUUUUCCAGGUUAACAAUCCACCUGCUAUUCCACGUGUUUGUUUUGUGUGCUUCCGUUGGGAAGGAUGAUAGCGAUUUAAAACAAUCCUCGUGUAUACUUUUAGUCGGGAUGUCUGUUGAACAUGGAAGUUUUAUUUUCGCCUUCAAUCAGUAACCUAGUAUGACUUUUAGUGGAAUGCAAUUGAAUACAUAUCGAGCAGGAGCCCUGUUCAUGUUUUCUACAUUCUUACACUGCACAAACAUUCACUCCAAUAGAAAGGCACAGUUGCAGUUAAACUGUACUAAACUUACUGUUCAGUUUCAGGAGGUCUUCUUGAAGAUCAUAUCAUCACGGUGGCAUCCUACACAUCAAGGAACGGCUUCUUCAUAACAACGUCACAACCAGACAAAGAGGACCUAUGGAAUCAGAUGUAUAACAGCGAUUCGCGGGCCUUGAUCACGUUGGCUACAGAAACCCAAAUCUUCCUCCCGUCGAUGGACAGUCCUGUCUCCACGUCAAGGCUGACAGCAAGCUUGCAAACGUCUAAAAAUUAUAUCUAAUGAUGUUAUCCUGAACUCUAUUGAUCUCACAGUACAUGGUGCUGACCUCACCUCAGCAAUUCAACACUAUCAUGUGACCGGAAGUACAUUGAUGAUUCAAGUGU
Haliotis rubra (blacklip abalone) is the source of this 790-nucleotide long non-coding RNA. RefSeq lists it as uncharacterized. Lineage: Eukaryota; Metazoa; Mollusca; Gastropoda; Lepetellida; Haliotidae. The record is from RefSeq and is a predicted model, not a curated record. The transcript is spliced from 4 exons.